CUGAAUAAGGGCAUGUGGGGGAUACCUAGACUCUUAAGAGCGAUGAAAGACGUGGUCUGGCUGCGAUAAGCUUCGGGGAGCUGCCAAACAAGCUUCGAUCCGGAGAUUUCUGAAUGGGGAAACCCACUACGGUAGACCCGUAGUAUCUUGCGACUAAGCAAGAUGCGAACCUCGGGAAGUAAAACAUUUCAGUACCGAGAGGAGAAGAAACUAACUAGUAUUCCCUUAGUAGCGGCGAGCGAAACGGGAUUAGCCCAAACUCAAAACUGUCCCGUGGGCUUUUUGCCCACGGGACAGGGUUGGGGGUUGUAAGACAGUAGUAAUGGUCGCAUCACAUUGCAUGUGAUGCAGAGACGAAAGAGUAAAAGAGCAGUAAGAGAUGAAAUGGAUGCACUUUGUCGUAGGCAAAAUGCAUAGAAUCCUAAUAUCUCUUUCUUCUCUCACCUCUCUAUUAUCUCUCGAGCAUCGCGUGUAGCGUGAUGCGACCGAAGAGUUACAAAGCAUAACAGUAGAAGAACACGUUGGGAAGCGUGGCCCUAGAGGGUAAUAGCCCCGUAUUUGAAACUUUUAUGCCUCUUUGAGGCUACUGCUCUUGAGUAGCUCAGGACACGAAUAGCCUGAGUGAAUCUGCCAGAACUAACUGGUAAGGCUAAAUAUCUUAAGAGAUCGAUAGUGAACAAGUACCGUGAGGGAAAGGUGAAAAGAACCCCGGUUAGGGGAGUGAAAUAGAUUUGAAACCGCAUGCCUACAAGGAGUCGGAGCGGACAUCACAUUGUGUGUGAUGUCAGAGCUUAAAGAGUGAAAGAGAAAAAAGAGAUGAAAGGUUGCAUUUUGCUAUUGCGAAAUGCAAAGAAACCUCGCAACUCUCACCUCUCGAACAUCUCUCAUUGCUCUAGCAUCACGCGUAGCGUGAUGUCCGUCACGGCGUGCCUAUUGAAGAAUGAGCCAACGAGUCGAUAUAUAUGGCUUGGCUAAACCCUUUUCGGGUGGAGCCACAGCGAAAGCGAGUGUGAAUAGCGCGAACUUAUAGUCUUAUGUAUCGGACCCGAAGCUAGGUGAGCUUGCCAUGAGCAGGGUGAACCCUUUCGAAAGACAGGGGGAGGCCCGAACCGCCAGGUCGUGUAACGCCUUCGGAUGACUUGUGGUAAGAAGUGAAAAGCUAAUCGAACCUAGUAAUAGCUGGUUCUCUCCGAAACAGCUUUAGGGUUGGCGUCGCGUGUUCCUUUUGGGGGUAGAGCACUGGAAGGUCUGAAUAGGGAGAAAUCUCGUCAGUCCUAUCAAACUCCGAAUACCAAAAGUUAACCCGCACACUAACGUUGCCAUCGCCCCUUUUAUAUGAAGAAUUGUCUGUAAAGGUGAUUCGAUAUUAAAGGCGGUGUUGGAAUGAUUAUGUGCCAUUGUCAUGGCAGAAAUAAUGGCAAUGUUAGUGUGCGGGUGAAGAACGCGGCAGUUAGGCUAUGGGGGCGAAGCUCCAUUGGCCGAAAGGGAAACAGCCCAGACCGCCAGUUAAGGUCCCAAAAUUGAUACUAAGUACUAGCAAGGAUGUGAGGUUUCAGAGACAAUGAGGAGGUUGGCUUAGAAGCAGCCACCCUUUAAAGAAAGCGUAACAGCUCACUCAUUCAGAGACCUUGCGCCGAAAAUGAUCGG
RNAcentral lists this ribosomal RNA (1647 nucleotides) under Candidatus Kaiserbacteria bacterium CG10_big_fil_rev_8_21_14_0_10_43_70. Its description in RNAcentral is "partial 23S ribosomal RNA". It matches the Rfam family "Bacterial large subunit ribosomal RNA", at positions 1 to 1178 of the family's 2925-position model. Lineage: Bacteria; Candidatus Kaiseribacteriota. The record is from RNAcentral.